Long non-coding RNA from Gasterosteus aculeatus aculeatus (three-spined stickleback), 826 nucleotides. NCBI's taxonomy places the organism in Eukaryota, Metazoa, Chordata, Actinopteri, Perciformes, Gasterosteidae. The record is from Ensembl.
AUUUUUGGUCACAUGACAGAGGCGGCUGUAUGAGAGGUAAUUCUUUCCCAUUGGCCUAAUGAGCACAAUGAGGUAAUGUAAGGAGAUGUGAUCCUGAUUGCAGCAGUUUAUCCGGUGCUUUCCAGCGCCGAGGCUCAGGCGGCCUGCGCACGUCAGCUCGGAGGUCAAGAGGUUAUUCGCCUUUAAAUUGAUGAGUCAGAAAGAAAAUGAAUCGACACUCGAUUUCACGCACAUCACGGUGGUAAACGGACUUUCGGUGAAAUCAAGGAGCGCUUCCGGGACGAAUGAAAAGAGCUGGGCCCACAGCAGGAGGAAGCGGGUGGAAGGAGCCGCUGAGUGAUGAAUCCUCUAACCUUGGACUAUCACGGUCACACAGCGGUAACGAGGACUUGUUUUUCUCUGCAAAACAAAGCGCUCUUCCUGUUUGGAACGUGAGUCCUCCAUGUUCUGGGGCUGAAACACGUGUCGGGGGAACACGGUGGAAGCAGAUGAGCAGAAGAAUGUACUGGGACCCGGAGACAGAGACAGUCAUCUACAGUUUGCAGAGAAGCCACAAAUAGUUGAUUCCUAUCUGCAGGAAAAAUUGGAGGCCAAACUUGCAUCCAAAAGCAGUCUCCCUGCAGUACCGCACGCUGCAUAUAGGGGGCAGAGCGGCUCCAGGCACAGAGCCUCCACCGUUAAACAUCUUAUUCAGCUAAAAACUCCCAAAAGAAGAGUUGCCGUUAUUACCACCAGCCUGGUAGUUAAGUAUCUAUCACCAGUCAGCAAUGAGGGAGAAUCCCUUCUAGUUCUUUACACUAUCAGCGGUUUAACACAAUGUUUUGCC